This 650-nucleotide ribosomal RNA is filed under the name uncultured marine bacterium. RNAcentral describes it as "bacterial SSU rRNA". It matches the Rfam family "Bacterial small subunit ribosomal RNA", at positions 83 to 733 of the family's 1533-position model. The record is from RNAcentral.
UAAAGAUGACGACCGGCGAACGGGUGCGUAACGCGUAUAGAAUCUACCUCUUACUAAGGGAUAGCCCAGAGAAAUUUGGAUUAAUACCUUAUGGUAUGCAGACUUGGCAUCAAGACUGCAUUAAAGAUUACGGUAGGAGAUGACUAUGCGUCCUAUUAGCUAGAUGGUGUGGUAACGGCACACCAUGGCAACGAUAGGUAGGGGCCCUGAGAGGGGGAUCCCCCACACUGGUACUGAGACACGGACCAGACUCCUACGGGAGGCAGCAGUGAGGAAUAUUGGACAAUGGAGGCAACUCUGAUCCAGCCAUGCCGCGUGCAGGAAGACUGCCCUAUGGGUUGUAAACUGCUUUUAUACAGGAAGAAACACUGCUACGUGUAGCAGCUUGACGGUACUGUAAGAAUAAGGAUCGGCUAACUCCGUGCCAGCAGCCGCGGUAAUACGGAGGAUCCAAGCGUUAUCCGGAAUCAUUGGGUUUAAAGGGUCCGUAGGUGGAUAAUUAAGUCAGAGGUGAAAUCCUGCAGCUCAACUGUAGAAUUGCCUUUGAUACUGGUUAUCUUGAGUUAUUAUGAAGUAGUUAGAAUAUGUAGUGUAGCGGUGAAAUGCAUAGAUAUUACAUAGAAUACCAAUUGCGAAGGCAGAUUACUAAU